UUGUAUUUAGGCAUCCUUGCAUUCCUGGAAUGAAUCCUACUUGGGGAUGGUGUAUAAUCGUUAUAUGCUUCCGAAUUCAUUUUGCUAGUGUUUUGUUGAAGAUUUUGGCUCAAAACUCGUAAGGGAUUUUGUAAUUUUCUUGUAGUGUCUUUGGCUUCAGUGUUAGGGUGAUGCAGGCCUUAUAUAAUGAGUUAUGAAGAGUUCCCUCUUUGGAAGAGUUCUGGAAGGAUAGGUGUUAAUUCUGUACACAUUUGGUGUAGGUUGUCAGUAAAACCGUCUGAUUUAGGACUCAUCUCGUUGGGAGGUUUUUGAUUGCUGAUUCAGUCUCCUUAGUCAUUACAGGUUUAUUUCCAUUUUCUUUUCGUGAUUCAGUUUUAGUAGAUUUAAUGUUCCUGAGGGUUUGUCCACCUCAUCUAAGCUCUCGAGUUUGUUGUUGUACACAGCUGUUCAUGGUACUCUCUUACAGUGUUGUUUAUUUCUGUAAAAUUGGGAGUAAUGCUUCCACUUUCAUUUCUCGUUUGAGUAAUGUGAGUCUCCUUUCUUUUCCUUAGUCAGCCUAGGCCAAGGUUUAUCAGUUUCGUUGAUCUUUUCAAAGAACCAGCUUUUGGUUUCAUUGCUUUAUCUCUUGUUUUUCUAUACUCUGUUUCAUUUAUCUCCUCUGUAAUUGUUAUUUACUUUCUGCUAGCUUUGGGUUUCAUUUACUUUUCCUUUCUUCAUUCCUUAAGGUGUCCAGUUAGGUUAUUGAUUCAAGAUCUUCCUUUAUUGUUACUAUUAGUGUUCACAGUUGUACAUUUCCCUCUGAGCACAACUUCCACUGCAUCCCUGAAGUUUCUGGUCUGUUGUGUUUAAAUUUUCAUUCAUCUCAAGGACAUCCCUCCAUAU
Long non-coding RNA from Lontra canadensis (Northern American river otter), 882 nucleotides. RefSeq lists it as uncharacterized. Lineage: Eukaryota; Metazoa; Chordata; Mammalia; Carnivora; Mustelidae. The transcript is spliced from 3 exons. The record is from RefSeq and is a predicted model, not a curated record.